AUCACUAAGCGGAGGAAAAGAAA
Molecule: ribosomal RNA, 23 nt
Filed under: Prionolejeunea mucronata
Lineage: Eukaryota; Viridiplantae; Streptophyta; Jungermanniopsida; Porellales; Lejeuneaceae
Description: partial 26S ribosomal RNA
Source: RNAcentral